This is a non-coding RNA of Globicephala melas (long-finned pilot whale), 2237 nucleotides long. The record is from RefSeq and is a predicted model, not a curated record. NCBI's taxonomy places the organism in Eukaryota, Metazoa, Chordata, Mammalia, Artiodactyla, Delphinidae.
CUCUCUGGCCUGUUGCUAUGGCCGCCGGACCACGUUGCUAAGGAGCCUGGAGAUGUUGAGCGCCAAGAGCUCGCCCUUCGUGGUCGGGCUUUGACCGAGAGUUGCCUUGUCGGCCUUAUUUGAAACUGGCCGCCUUUCUCCCACUCUCCCCGACCUUCUUAAAAAAACAAAAAAACCCACAGCUUUCUCUCCAUUUUUUCCUCUCCAUGUCCUUCUCAUUUUCUAACUUUGACAACAUCCCGGCUCUGAACUGGUCUUAGGUAUCUGGAAAUGUGUGGUGUUGGAGGCGGAGAGGCUAGGAAAAUGGAAAGAUAUUAAGACCCUUAAUACUGGCUCUUUGGAUUUAUAGUACUUUAUGGUGAAAAGGAUUGGGAUAGGUGAAUAUUGGGCUGUGUCGCUGUUCUUUGGAAUUUGAAGGAGUUUUAGAGAUGGAGCUCAUCUUCUUUUGUGGGGCUCCUAUUACACUUUUGGAACUUCCCAAACACCAGAUUAGAGAGUAGGGGAAAAAAAAGUGGCCUCUGCCUCUGAGAAUUUGCCAGAUAGUUUAGUGCAGUGGUCUCAAAGCCAAGUGCGAGAAGAAAAUGCAUGUGGGAAAAGAAAUAGGUUAUAUGAACUGUCCAAAACAAUGAAAAAAGAGUACGCUUUCCUGGCAUUGACCCAGAUGCCUAUAAUCCCUUGUAGAUGACCUGCAGCAUCUAAGGAAACCUGAGGAGCAAAAGAGAAGCAAUGCAGAAAUCCGAGUGCCAUAGAGGCGUACAGUUAAGAAGCAGAGUGACAGAUAACUGUGAUCAAAGGACAUCAUCAAGUGCACAAAUAAAACAUAGGACUACAGUUCAACAAAGGAAAUCCUCCUCGUCAACCAGUUCUCCAGAAUCUGCAAGACAUCCUCGACCAAGUGAUAAACUUAACCCUAAAACAAUUAACCCUUUUGGUGAACAGUCACGAGCCCCUUCUGCAUUUGCAGCUAUUUACUCUAAGGGAGGUGUUCCUUGCAGAUUGGUCCAUGGUUCAGUAAAACACAGGUUACAGUGGGAGUGUCCUCCUGAAAAGCUUCCAUUUGAUCCUCUUCUUAUUACUUUAGCUGAGGGUCUGAGGGAGACUAAACAUCCAUACACCUUUGUGUCAAAGGAGGGUUUUAGAGAAUUACUUUUGGUCACAGGUGCUCUUGAAAAAGCUGUGCCUUUGCUUCCUAGACUGAUUCCUGUGCUGAAGGCAGCUCUGGUCCACUUGGAUGAUGAAGUGUUUGAAAGAGGAUUGAAUGCUCUGGUACAGUUAAGUGUCGUUGUUGGCCCUUCUCUAAAUGACCAUCUGAAACAUCUGCUUACAAGUCUUUCCAGGAGACUAAGGGACAAGAAAUUCAAAGAACCAAUCACCACUGCAUUACAGAAGCUGGAGCAGCAUGGUGGAAGUGGAAGCCUUAUCAUCAUCAAAUCUAAAAUUCCAACCUAUUGCUCCAUAUACUGCUGAAGAAACUAGCCCUGGUGACAGGUGUUAAACGCUGACCACGGAAGCUGAUUCUGGAUCAUUCUACAGGGAAAGGAGUAGAGGGAGAGAAACAUCUGGGCAGGAAGAGCGCCGUUAGGGACCCGGCUGGCCACACCAAAUCCAAGGCUAACAGACUUCUGAAGGGCUGGAGAUUAGGGGCAGCAAUAUUCUGUCCCAGAAGCCUCGGAGAACACCCUUUCUUUGCUCCAUCCUCAGGUACCAAGAGUGAUCUCUUUGUAAUUCUCAUUUCAGAUCCAAUCUCACGGAUGUAACUUAAAAUACGAGGAGUUUCUGAAGAGUGUUAACAGCAGAAAUGCUCCUCCUCCCUCAGAGCUCCUAUCAUUCCUGGUCCCCUGGCUGGCACACUCUGUCCUCAAAGCAAGUUGAUGUCAUUGGCCCAAGAUACCUUCUAUUUGAAGAGCCCAAUGCUCAAAACUCAACUCGGGGGAAAGCUAGUGAGAGAAAGAGGACAUAUGGACAUUGAACCACAUCCAGGCUUCAGAUGAGAAGAGAUUUCUGGCACCUCCUUGGAGAUUGGAGUGUUAAAAGAGGAGACUGAAAAAUUCAAGGACCGGGUCAGAAAAAAUAGAAGAUGAGGCUGGAGCAUCUUGUAGUGUCCAAAAGUAAGGAAUGAGCAAAGAAAGAAACAAAACAAAACAAAAAAAUAAACAACCACAAUGAUGGGGCCAUGUUGAAGCCAACUGCAAGAGCUUCCAGUGGCCCAGCUGGAACAAUUUAAGCAAAAAGAUAAA